This 374-nucleotide ribosomal RNA is filed under the name uncultured eukaryote. RNAcentral's name for it is "partial 18S ribosomal RNA". It matches the Rfam family "Eukaryotic small subunit ribosomal RNA", at positions 592 to 976 of the family's 1831-position model. The record is from RNAcentral.
CAAGAGCGUAUGUAAAAGUUGUUGCAGUUAAAAAGCUCGUAGUUGAACCUUGGGUUUGGUUGGCCGGUCCGCUUUUUUGCGAGUACUGGAUUCAACCGAGCCUUUCCUUCUGGCUAACCAGUCGUUUCGGCGGCUGGCGAACCAGGAUUUUUACUUUGAGAAAAUUAGAGUGUUCAAAGCAGGUAUUAGCUUGAAUAUAUUAGCAUGGAAUAAUAGAAUAGGACGUUAUGGUUCUAUUUUGUUGGUUUCUAGGACCAUCGUAAUGAUUAAUAGGGACGGUCGGGGGCAUCAGUAUUCAGUUGUCAGAGGUGAAAUUCUUGGAUUUACUGAAGACUAACUACUGCGAAAGCAUUUGCCAAGGACGUUUUCAUUAA